UACGGAGGGUGCAAGCACUGAUCGGAAUUACUGGGCGUAAAGGGCGCGUAGGCGGCAUUGAAAGUCAGAUGUGAAAUUCCGGGGCUCAACCCCGGAGCUGCAUUCGAAACUUCAAAGCUAGAGUACAGUUAGGGUAAACGGAAUUCCACGUGUAGCGGUGAAAUGCGUAGAUAUGUGGAAGAACACCGGUGGUGAAGACGGUUUACUGGGCUGAAACUGACGCUGAGGCGCGAAAGCGUGGGGAGCAAACAGG
RNAcentral lists this ribosomal RNA (253 nucleotides) under uncultured bacterium. Its description in RNAcentral is "partial 16S ribosomal RNA". It matches the Rfam family "Bacterial small subunit ribosomal RNA", at positions 524 to 776 of the family's 1533-position model. The record is from RNAcentral.